Long non-coding RNA from Corvus hawaiiensis (hawaiian crow), 2627 nucleotides. RefSeq lists it as uncharacterized. The record is from RefSeq and is a predicted model, not a curated record. The transcript is spliced from 2 exons. NCBI's taxonomy places the organism in Eukaryota, Metazoa, Chordata, Aves, Passeriformes, Corvidae.
GAUUCAGUGCUUAUUUGUGCAAACCCAGUUUUUUUAUCUUUUCUUUCUUUUUUUUUUUUUUUUUUUUUUUUUUUUUUUUUGAAAGGUCUCCGCUGUUCCUGGUAGUUUUAUGUAGAAAAGGUCAUGUGAACAGCAGGGAGCAGUGAGCACUUGGAAGGGGGGGUGCAGGUAGUUCCUUCAGGGUGGGGGAGUGAAUGUGGCCUAGGAACAGCUCUCUGGUCAAGUGAGCAGCAGAGGAACUGAAGGAUGCUCUUCCCCAGCAGAGCUGCUGCUUUGUGCUCUGGGGCAGCGCUGCCGGUGCUGGGCUUCCUCGGGGAAAACAGCUCCUUUGGGAUGUGCUUUGCUGCAAAGGUUUCCCUGAGCUGGGUGUCUGCAAGAGGCAUCGGGAUACCAGUGUCAGGACUUUUCCAUGGUUUCCAAGCUGUUGUACACAGCACGUUCCGGGCAAUUUGCCAGCGUGAGGCAGAGCAAAAUGGGUGCAAUUGGACCCUGCAAAUGCAGUUCAGGCAGACGUUGAUCUUUUAACUUUUCCAUUGUAGGUGCGAAUUCUUGGGCAUUUGUGAGUCUGCCUUGACUUGCAGGGAUUGAAGGGUUUAGGUGUGGAGUUGUUUGGCCAGCUUGCUCCAAGGCUUGGUGUACUUCUGGAAGUGCCACACACCUCGCAGGACCGAGGGGCUGCUGGCUGGGUGCUGGUUCUGCUCUGCCCUGGGAACUGGGAGCCCCUGGGAGGGCUGGGGGUGACACCUGGAGAUGGGCUGGGGAAGCCUGGAAUUGUAUCUCAGCACUUUUCUAUGCAGCUCUAUGGACCGGUGUGUGCUGAACGAAGCGGCUCUUCAGCACAAUAAAUUCAGCAGUUUGGAAAAACCAUGGAAUAUCUCCGAGUUAAUGAUGGGAGAGGGUUGGGGCUGCUCCCUGAUAACGUGCAGGGCUCGGGGGUGCGAAACGAAGAUGGGGAGAGGAGUGGGGGCUGCUCCUCGUUGUCGGGGCGCCGCGGGCGCUGCGCAGCCUUCCCCUUUUACUUCCCAAUUCCUCAUUUUGUGCCUCCUUUUCCUUUGGGGAUGCGCCCGGGCCGCAUUCCAGCGGCCACCGUGGGACAGCGCCUGUGGGCGGUGGGGUUUCCCGCGUGAUUGACGGGCCCAGCGGCCAAUGGGGAGGCGGGGCGGGCCGAGGCCUGGCCAAUGGGGAGGCGGCUCGGGGCGGCGCGCGGCCAGUUGGAAUCGGCGGGAGCGGUUGGGGCGGGCGGGCAUGGACGGGCCCGGGCGAAUCCACAGCCCAAGCCACGUGCACACACUGCAGAUGUGAAGUGUAUUUUUACUGCCAGCAAGCACCUGGGAAUAAAAAAACCUCAGCCCCAAAGCUUGAUGUCUAAACAGCAACACAGAAGUUCUAAACCAGCUGUCUGGAUUUGAAAAGAUUUGAAAAGACAUAUGUCUUUGGAAGUUAACAUAGAGUUCAACUUGAUGUAGUGAUCGACUUAGGUUCAGCUUAAAAAAGGCCCUACCGACAUUUUAUUGUAUCUAAUCCCUGCUUUCUCCUGCGUUUUAGUUCUUGCCUCUCGGCCCACUCUGUUUCACGGGGCUGUACAUGGUGAAACACUUCCCUGUGUGCUUUCUGGGUUUGAGCUGCCCUGCCCCGGCACGUAGGGUCACGGUUAAGUAGAAGAGUUAUCAAACUUAGUGGUUCAUCUCUUUUUCAUGGGUUUUUGGGUAGAAAACUUACGGGCCUGGUGUGGGAAUAACUCCCAGCCCUCGGCGUCUCAUUGACCGCCUCCCGUUGUCUCGCAGGUCCCUGAGGCGGCUUCGGAUCUCCGCGGUCACCGACGCUGCCGAUUUUCCCGGCGCGCGCCGUUCGACGUCGAGGAGCGGCAUCCAGAAGCUGUGUCGGAGCAUCUUCCUGGCUGGAAUGUUUUGAGUAAGGGCUGCAGUCAGGGUGUAAGCUGAAGGGUGUGUGACUGUGUGUGUGUGUGACUGUGUCUGUCUGCCUGCGAGAAGAGUGCGGGUGUGGAAUGGUUCUGACCUUGUGUGUGGGAGUUUUGCCUUACAGGCUUUUCAGCUACUUUUUAAACUUAGAGUAAAAACAACCCAGCUGCGCUGGCUGGGGAUUUUUUCCCUCCCGGCUGGGUUUUUUUAUCUGGGACCCGGCCGGUCUGUGAGAUGCCAUUCAUCGCCAGGGUUUGGGUGCCGACCGUGCCGGGGAUUUGUCAGGCGGGAUGAUUUUGGGGCUCCCGGGAACCGCGCUCCCAUGGGGUGCUCUUGAGACGAGAGCGAGGGUGGGUUUGUGUGUCAGCUGAAGGAGGUGUGUGGUGGAUGAGUGUUUUCUUCUCCAUGUGCUGCUGUUGCUUUGGGUUCCUAGAACAAUAAAAUGUAAUGAAUUUUCCAGAAAUAGAACAAUUGUUACAUUGUACUGAUAGGGGGUUGGCUUGUGUUGCUCUGUAUUCGUGUUUGCUGCUGCACUUGCACAUACUGCUCUGUAUGUCAAUUGGACUUUGACCAGUGUGCAUAUGGAUUGUAUUUGUGCUUGUGCUUGUGUGCAUUGUUGUUUCCACUUGCUUUGCUGAAGUGUAAAUAAAAAACCCUCGUUCAAUAAAGUUGAAUAAACCCUAAUAAAGAUACCCCCCCUCCCCCCUU